This 429-nucleotide ribosomal RNA is filed under the name Chloroflexota bacterium. RNAcentral describes it as "Chloroflexi bacterium partial 16S ribosomal RNA". It matches the Rfam family "Bacterial small subunit ribosomal RNA", at positions 355 to 776 of the family's 1533-position model. The record is from RNAcentral. Lineage: Bacteria; Bacillati; Chloroflexota.
UGGGGAAUAUUGCACAAUGGGCGCAAGCCUGAUGCAGCCAUGCCGCGUGUGUGAAGAAGGCCUUCGGGUUGUAAAGCACUUUCAGCGGGGAGGAAGGCGAUAAGGUUAAUAACCUUGUCGAUUGACGUUACCCGCAGAAGAAGCACCGGCUAACUCCGUGCCAGCAGCCGCGGUAAUACGGAGGGUGCAAGCGUUAAUCGGAAUUACUGGGCGUAAAGCGCACGCAGGCGGUCUGUCAAGUCGGAUGUGAAAUCCCCGGGCUUAAACUGGGAACUGCAUUCGAAACUGGCAGGCUAGAGUCUUGUAGAGGGGGGUAGAAUUCCAGGUGUAGCGGUGAAAUGCGUAGAGAUCUGGAGGAAUACCGGUAGCGAAGGCGGCCCCCUGGACAAAGACUGACGCUCAGGUGCGAAAGCGUGGGGAGCAAACAGG